AAUUUUAAAAGCGCCUGAGCUAUAUUAGCUGACGAGGACAGGGUUAAUCGAUUUUCGGCGGAUUCCCUGCGGUAAUGUCUACCGUAAUUUAUCUUACAAAACUUUAAAGUAAUUUAAAGCACAAAAAGAUA
Molecule: non-coding RNA, 131 nt
Filed under: Candidatus Dwaynesavagella gallinarum
Lineage: Bacteria; Bacillati; Bacillota; Clostridia; Eubacteriales; Clostridiaceae
Description: glmS glucosamine-6-phosphate activated ribozyme
Rfam family: glmS glucosamine-6-phosphate activated ribozyme aptamer
About the family: This entry contains a glucosamine-6-phosphate activated ribozyme that is found in the mRNA for GlmS. GlmS is an enzyme that uses fructose-6-phosphate and glutamine to generate glucosamine-6-phosphate.
Source: RNAcentral